AUACGUAGGUGACAAGCGUUAUCCGGAUUUACUGGGCGUAAAGGGCGUGUAGGCGGUCUUGCAAGUCAGAAGUGAAAUUCCUGAGCUCAACUCGGGCGCUGCUUCUGAAACUGCGGGACUUGAGUGCUGGAGGGGAUAGCGGAAUUCCUAGUGGCGCGGUAAAAUGCGCAUAUAUUAGGAAGAACACCGGUGGCGUAGGCGGCAAGCUGGACAAUAACGGACGCUGAGGCUCUAAGGCGUGGUAGCAAACAGGAUUAGAUACCCUGGUAGUCCACGGCGUAAACGAUGAAUACUAGAUGUAUGGUGUAUCGACUCCCUCUGUGCCGCAGUUAACACAAUAAGUAUUCCGCCUGGGGAGUACGGCCGCAGGGUUGAAACUCAAAUGAAUUGGCGGGG
This 396-nucleotide ribosomal RNA is filed under the name uncultured bacterium. RNAcentral's name for it is "partial 16S ribosomal RNA". It matches the Rfam family "Bacterial small subunit ribosomal RNA", at positions 523 to 918 of the family's 1533-position model. The record is from RNAcentral.